Molecule: transfer RNA, 85 nt
Filed under: Thermoplasmata archaeon
Lineage: Archaea; Methanobacteriati; Thermoplasmatota; Thermoplasmata
Also listed under: 2 other names
Description: tRNA-Leu
Rfam family: tRNA
About the family: Transfer RNA (tRNA) molecules are approximately 80 nucleotides in length. Their secondary structure includes four short double-helical elements and three loops (D, anti-codon, and T loops). Further hydrogen bonds mediate the characteristic L-shaped molecular structure. tRNAs have two regions of fundamental functional importance: the anti-codon, which is responsible for specific mRNA codon recognition, and the 3' end, to which the tRNAs corresponding amino acid is attached (by aminoacyl-tRNA synthetases). tRNAs cope with the degeneracy of the genetic code in two manners: having more than one tRNA (with a specific anti-codon) for a particular amino acid; and 'wobble' base-pairing, i.e. permitting non-standard base-pairing at the 3rd anti-codon position.
Source: RNAcentral
GCAGGGGUAGCCAAGCCUGGCCAAAGGCGCCAGACUCAAGAUCUGGUCCCGGAGGGGUUCAGGAGUUCGAAUCUCCUCCCCUGCA